AACGAACGUUAGCGGCGCGCUUAACACAUGCAAGUCGAACGGAACCUUCGGGUUUAGUGGCGAACGGGUGAGUAAUACCUAGGAAUCUGCCUAUUAGUGGGGGAUAACGGCUCGAAAGGGUCGCUAAUACCGCAUACGUCCUACGGGAGAAAGAGGGGGAUCUUCGGACCUCUUGCUAAUAGAUGAGCCUAGGCCGGAUUAGCUAGUUGGUAGGGUAAAGGCCUACCAAGGCGACGAUCCGUAGCUGGGUCUGAGAGGAUGAUCAGCCACACUGGAACUGAGACACGGUCCAGACUCCUACGGGAGGCAGCAGUGGGGAAUAUUGGACAAUGGGGGGCAACCCUGAUCCAGCCAUGCCGCGUGGUGUGAAGAAGGCCUCGGUUGUAAG
RNAcentral lists this ribosomal RNA (388 nucleotides) under uncultured bacterium. RNAcentral describes it as "bacterial SSU rRNA". It matches the Rfam family "Bacterial small subunit ribosomal RNA", at positions 29 to 429 of the family's 1533-position model. The record is from RNAcentral.